RNAcentral lists this ribosomal RNA (465 nucleotides) under uncultured bacterium. RNAcentral describes it as "partial 16S ribosomal RNA". It matches the Rfam family "Bacterial small subunit ribosomal RNA", at positions 28 to 507 of the family's 1533-position model. The record is from RNAcentral.
GACGAACGCUGGCGGCGUGCUUAACACAUGCAAGUCGAACGGAAAGGCCCUGCUUGCAGGGUACUCGAGUGGCGAACGGGUGAGUAACACGUGGGUGAUCUGCCCUGCACUUCGGGAUAAGCCUGGGAAACUGGGUCUAAUACCGGAUAGGAGCCAUUUUUAGUGUGAUGGUUGGAAAGUUUUUUCGGUGUAGGAUGAGCUCGCGGCCUAUCAGCUUGUUGGUGGGGUAAUGGCCUACCAAGGCGGCGACGGGUAGCCGGCCUGAGAGGGUGGACGGCCACAUUGGGACUGAGAUACGGCCCAGACUCCUACGGGAGGCAGCAGUGGGGAAUAUUGCACAAUGGGCGCAAGCCUGAUGCAGCGACGCCGCGUGGGGGAUGACGGCCUUCGGGUUGUAAACUCCUUUCGCCAGGGACGAAGCUUUUUGUGACGGUACCUAGAUAAGAAGCACCGGCUAACUACUUG